This 29-nucleotide non-coding RNA is filed under the name Bombyx mori (domestic silkworm). The record is from RNAcentral. Lineage: Eukaryota; Metazoa; Arthropoda; Insecta; Lepidoptera; Bombycidae.
UCAAUCAGUCUUCUAAGCACAAAAGCAAA